Molecule: ribosomal RNA, 305 nt
Filed under: uncultured bacterium
Lineage: Bacteria
Description: bacterial SSU rRNA
Rfam family: Bacterial small subunit ribosomal RNA
Source: RNAcentral
UGGACCUACGGGACGCAGCAGUGAGGAAUAUUGGUCAAUGGGCGGAAGCCUGAACCAGCCAAGUCGCGUGAGGGAAGAAGGCCCUGCGGGUCGCAGACCUCUUUGGACGGGGAGCAAGGCCGCCGACGUGUCGGCGGAAGGAGAGUACCCGUAGAACAAGCAUCGGCUAACUCCGUGCCAGCAGCCGCGGUAAUACGGAGGAUGCGAGCGUUAUCCGGAUUUAUUGGGUUUAAAGGGUGCGUAGGCGGUCCGGAAAGUCAGCGGUAAAAGCCCGGGGCUCAACCCCGGCGAGCCGUUGAAACUGU